RNAcentral lists this ribosomal RNA (485 nucleotides) under uncultured bacterium. RNAcentral describes it as "partial 16S ribosomal RNA". It matches the Rfam family "Bacterial small subunit ribosomal RNA", at positions 30 to 508 of the family's 1533-position model. The record is from RNAcentral.
AUUGAACGCUGGCGGCAGGCCUAACACAUGCAAGUCGAGCGGAUGAAGGGAGCUUGCUCCUGGAUUCAGCGGCGGACGGGUGAGUCAUGCCUAGGAAUCUGCCUGGUAGUGGGGGAUAACGUCCGGAAACGGGCGCUAAUACCGCAUACGUCCUGAGGGAGCAAGUGGGGGAUCUUCGGACCUCACGCUAUCAGAUGAGCCUAGGUCGGAUUAGCUAGUGGGUGGGGUAAAGGCUUACCAAGGCGACGAUCCGUAACUGGUCAGAGAGGAUGAUCAGUAACGCUGGUACUGAGACACGGUCCAGCCUCCUACGAGAGAGAGCAGGCGGGGAUACUUGACGGAGGGAGAAAGCCUGAUUAAGGCACGCCGCGUGAGUGAAGAAGGUCUUCGUAUUGUAAAGGUCUUGAAGUUGGGAGGAAUGGCAGUAAGUUAAUACCUUGCUGUUUAGACGAUACCAACAAAAUAAGCACCGGCCAACUUCGUGC